AGGAAUAUUGGUCAAUGGGCGAGAGCCUGAACCAGCCAAGUAGCGUGAAGGAUGACUGCCCUAUGGGUUGUAAACUUCUUUUAUAAAGGAAUAAAGUCGGGUAUGCAUACCCGUUUGCAUGUACUUUAUGAAUAAGGAUCGGCUAACUCCGUGCCAGCAGCCGCGGUAAUACGGAGGAUCCGAGCGUUAUCCGGAUUUAUUGGGUUUAAAGGGAGCGUAGAUGGAUGUUUAAGUCAGUUGUGAAAGUUUGCGGCUCAACCGUAAAAUUGCAGUUGAUACUGGAUAUCUUGAGUGCAGUUGAGGCAGGCGGAAUUCGUGGUGUAGCGGUGAAAUGCUUAGAUAUCACGAAGAACUCCGAUUGCGAAGGCAGCCUGCUAAGCUGCAACUGACAUUGAGGCUCGAAAGUGUGGGUAUCAAACAGGAUUAAAUACCCUGGUAGUCCACACGGUAAACGAUGAAUACUCGCUGUUUGCGAUAUACAGCAAGCGGCCAAGCGAAAGCGUUAAGUAUUCCACCUGGGGAGUACGCCGGCAACGGUGAAACUCAAAGGAAUUGACGGGGGCCCGCACAAGCGGAGGAACAUGUGGUUUAAUUCGAUGAUACGCGAGGAACCUUACCCGGGCUUAAAUUGCAGAUGAAUUACGGUGAAAGCCGUAAGCCGCAAGGCAUCUGUGAAGGUGCUGCAUGGUUGUCGUCAGCUCGUGCCGUGAGGUGUCGGCUUAAGUGCCAUAACGAGCGCAACCCUUGUUGUCAGUUACUAACAGGUUUCGCUGAGGACUCUGACAAGACUGCCAUCGUAAGAUGUGAGGAAGGUGGGGAUGACGUCAAAUCAGCACGGCCCUUACGUCCGGGGCUACACACGUGUUACAAUGGGGGGUACAGAGGGCCGCUACCACGCGAGUGGAUGCCAAUCCCCAAAACCUCUCUCAGUUCGGACUGGAGUCUGCAACCCGACUCCACGAAGCUGGAUUCGCUAGUAAUCGCGCAUCAGCCACGGCGCGGUGAAUACGUUCCCG
This 1016-nucleotide ribosomal RNA is filed under the name uncultured bacterium. Its description in RNAcentral is "bacterial SSU rRNA". It matches the Rfam family "Bacterial small subunit ribosomal RNA", at positions 357 to 1376 of the family's 1533-position model. The record is from RNAcentral.